Molecule: small RNA, 551 nt
Filed under: Pongo abelii (Sumatran orangutan)
Lineage: Eukaryota; Metazoa; Chordata; Mammalia; Primates; Hominidae
Description: processed transcript
Source: RNAcentral
GGAAGAUGGCGGCGUCCAGGGGAGGUUGAGGGCUCUGAGGAGGCGUUGAGAGGUUUCCGUACAGCCCGAACGUGCGGCUUUGGGGAUCCCUUCGCUCUGUGUUUCCUGCUCCAGGUUUCGCGUCUCGCAUCUUCCCAGACCCUCGGGCGCGAUGUGGAGGAGCUGCCUCCGGCUGCGGGACGGGGGACGCCGUCUCCUGAAUCGGCCUGCGGGUGGCCCCAGUGCUUCUAUGAGUCCGGGGCCAACCAUCCCGUCUCCAGCCCGGGCUUACGCCCCGCCGACAGAAAGGAAGAGGUUUUAUCAGAAUGUCAGCAUCACACAGGGUGAAGGUGGCUUUGAGAUAAACCUGGACCACAGGAAGCUGAAAACUCCCCAAGCCAAGCUCUUUACCGUCCCCAGCGAGGCCCUGGCUAUUGCAGUGGCUACUGAGUGGGAUUCCCAGCAGGAUACCAUCAAGUACUACACCAUGCACCUGCUCUCUCUCCUAGGAACACUGUGCUGGAUGGCUGGUUUCUCCUUUGGUUUCAGGACAGAUGUUACCUUCAUUGACU